Molecule: long non-coding RNA, 1814 nt
Organism: Mus musculus (house mouse)
Lineage: Eukaryota; Metazoa; Chordata; Mammalia; Rodentia; Muridae
Product: predicted gene, 30301
Exons: 3
Source: RefSeq, a predicted model, not a curated record
CUAGUACACAUGCGCAUGCAUGUCUGUGUGUGGGGGUGGGGUGGGGGGGAUGUCAGAGAACACCUUUGUGAAAUCAGUUGUCUCUUUGAGCCUUAUUGAGGCAGGCCCCCUUACUGUUUCUCAGUGUAUAUUCUUGGUUAGUGGGUCCUUGAGCUUUCUGGUGAUCCUUCUGUCUCUGCCUUCCAUCUUGCCUGAGAAGUGCUGGCUUUACAGAGAUGCACAACUACCAGUUCCAGCUUGUUUUACGCAGACUUCAGCAAUGGGUCUCAGGUGUCAGGUUUGUACACUAAACCCCUUUACCUGCUGAGCCAUCCUGCUGGCCCUUCACUUUCUCCUUUUCAUUCAGUCCAGGGUCCCAGUCCAUGAAAUGCUCACAGUUGGAGUGGGUCUUCCCUCCUUAUUUAACCUUCUUUGGGUUUGGGGAAGUAGCUUAGCACAGGAGAGGUCCAGAGUUGGAUCUCAAACAAACACUGCGUAAGUCAAGCUUAGUGAUACUUGGGAGAGGUAAGGACGAGGGUCAGAAGAUCAAGGUCAUCCUUCGCUACAUGACAAAUUCCAGGCUGGCCCAAAAAUCAAGAAAUGUCUCAAAAACAAACACUCCCCAAACAGUCGCUUUUAUUGGGCAGAUAAGUCAACCGGAAGUACUGGGUUCCAUUCACAGUCCAGCAAACAAAACUCUGACUCUUUCCCCUACAUCAUCCUGUGCAAGGAAAGUAGUCACUAAACCCCAAGUACAUGAGUGCCCCCCUACAAUACGGUGGUAGUUCGCAUAGAGCUGGACCAAUGGACAUGGACGCAUGGACUCCGCAAUCUGGUAUCCAGCCUCCUUCCUGGCCCCGCCCCUCCCGGGAAUCCCGGGAGUGGGAGGGGCUCCAUUCACAUUCUGACUACCUUUGCAGAGCUAUUCAGUCUCUUCAGUUUAGGCUCUGGCACUGCCUAACCUCCUGAGCUGCUAAUUGGACAAGGCUGUCCAGGGACUCAGUCUGAGACCCCUGCACGGAGGGCUAACUAGAACAAGCACUUGGAGCCGCAGCCUUGACGUUACCUGGCAGAGCAGACGCACCUGCACUUGAAGCUGAGCCCACUCCGCGUGGACCAACCCCACCACAAACAAGGAAUGCCUCACUAAGAUAUGAAGCAAGACUUACGGCUCACCGUCCAACUUGGAAACUUCCAAAGCAGGUUCCAAGAACGCAGUUGUGUUGGCUUCUCUGUUGCCACGGACCUCGGCUGGCACUGUAAGAGCAGAACUCCCUCGUCCCACUCAUGAUAGCAUUCACGCCUCCCUGAUCCCUGGCUUGUACAUUUUUAUCUACCCAAUUACUAUUCCUCACUCCUCCAACUUCCCAGAAAGCUUUUGGCCCUGGUGAGAAUCGGGCAGCUGUAGUGCCCAUUAGUCUGUUAUGGGGACUGGAUCUUAGCCGCUUGAGGCUGCUUCCUUAUGACCUGGAAGAUGUCGCCUCCAGUUGUCUUUCUGGAAAACCAUGUUGUAUGAGAUUUCACAAAGCUUCAGGCUUUAGAGCCCUCUCCUUAUAUCAACUGGGGACUUGGGCACAUUUUUGCACUCCCUUGGGAAUUAUUGUCUGGCAGUAGAAUUACUGCUGAUUAUCUUAUGGUUUUACAACUGUGUGAGGUGGCUUUGUAUCAGUUCUGGGCUGAGAUUGGAGAGUGGCUGUCCUUCAGGAGUUUAAGACAAGGAGUUAUCUGUGAAGUAGGCAAUACAAGUAGGAGAGCCAAGGAAUUAUGCCCAGAAAGGGGAUCUUAUCUUGCUUCUAGGUCAGCCCUUUUGUGAAGCCAGUGUCUCAGCACGUGGA